RNAcentral lists this ribosomal RNA (403 nucleotides) under uncultured bacterium. Its description in RNAcentral is "partial 16S ribosomal RNA". It matches the Rfam family "Bacterial small subunit ribosomal RNA", at positions 30 to 526 of the family's 1533-position model. The record is from RNAcentral.
AUUGAACGCUGGCGGCAGGCCUAACACAUGCAAGUCGAGCGAGCGGCGGACGGGUGAGUAAUGUAUGGGGACUGCCCGAUAGAGGGGGAUAACUACUGGAAACGGUGGCUAAUACCGCAUACUGUCGGAUAACCCAUAUGGGAUUAGCUAGUAGGUAAGGUAAUGGCUUACCUAGGCGACGAUCCCUAGCUGGUCUGAGAGGAUGAUCAGCCACACGGGGACGGCGACACGGCCCAGACUCCUACGGAGGCAGAAGUAGGGAAUAUUCGGCAAUGGAGGAAAGUCUGACCGAGCAACGCCGCGUGAGUGAAGAAGGUUUUCGGGUUGUAAACCGCUGUCGCUAUCGAACGGGUAGGUGGAGAAGAAGCGCCGGCUAACUACGUGCCAGCAGCCGCGGUAAUAC